This 444-nucleotide ribosomal RNA is filed under the name uncultured bacterium. RNAcentral's name for it is "partial 16S ribosomal RNA". It matches the Rfam family "Bacterial small subunit ribosomal RNA", at positions 339 to 795 of the family's 1533-position model. The record is from RNAcentral.
CUACGGGAGGCUCCAGUGAGGAAUAUUGCACAAUGGGCGCAAGCCUGAUGCAGCAACGCCGCGUGAGGGAUGAAGGCCUUCGGGUUGUAAACCUCUUUUAGCAGGGAAGAAGCGAAAGUGACGGUACCUGCAGAAAAAGCACCGGCUAACUACGUGCCAGCAGCCGCGGUAAUACGUAGGGUGCAAGCGUUGUCCGGAAUUAUUGGGCGUAAAGAGCUCGUAGGCGGUUUGUCACGUCUGCUGUGAAAAUCCAAGGCUCAACCUUGGACUUGCAGUGGGUACGGGCAGGCUAGAGUGCGGUAGGGGAGAUGGGAAUUCCUGGUGUAGCGGUGGAAUGCGCAGAUAUCAGGAGGAACACCAAUGGCGAAGGCACAUCUCUGGGCCGUAACUGACGCUGAGGAGCGAAAGCGUGGGGAGCGAACAGGAUUAGAUACCCUAGUAGUC